This 253-nucleotide ribosomal RNA is filed under the name uncultured bacterium. Its description in RNAcentral is "partial 16S ribosomal RNA". It matches the Rfam family "Bacterial small subunit ribosomal RNA", at positions 524 to 776 of the family's 1533-position model. The record is from RNAcentral.
UACGUAGGGGGCGAGCGUUGUCCGGAAUUACUGGGCGUAAAGCGCCUGUAGGCGGGAACGUGCGUCGGACGUGAAAGGCGGGGGCUUAACCCCCGAGCGGCGUUCGAAACGGCGUUUCUUGAGGGUCGAAGAGGAGCGUGGAAUUCCCGGUGUAGCGGUGAAAUGCGUAGAGAUCGAGAGGAACACCAGUGGCGAAGGCGAGUCCCUGGACAACACCUGACACUGAGGCACGAAAGCUAGGGGAGCAAACAGG